RNAcentral lists this non-coding RNA (24 nucleotides) under Arabidopsis thaliana (thale cress). The record is from RNAcentral. Lineage: Eukaryota; Viridiplantae; Streptophyta; Magnoliopsida; Brassicales; Brassicaceae.
ACCAAGUCCUUAGGUCGAAGUGCA